UACGACUAACCUAAGUAUUACCCUCUGGUACUAGGGUAACUAACCGCGUUAACUUAAGACAUCCGUAGAUGUAUAUUUACCUCUGUUGCUAACAGCUGGGUGUAGGAAUAGUUAAUCCCUUAAAUUAUACCUGUAAUGGUAUCAACCGUUGACAUCCGAGGAUGCGCUUUUACCUCUGUAGCUAACAGAGAUUCUAGGAAUGGUCAAUCCCGCAACGUAUCCUUUGGUACUAGGAUAUUAAAUCCAAUCUAUCUCGUCGAUUAUGUGAUUGCAUCACAAGGUAAAGAUAAGAAUGAGGAUUAUAUAACAUAAACUAUACAUAUAAAAUGUAAUGAUAAUUCGUCAUAUAUUAUCUAUGUAAACGUAAUCAUGUAAAUGUAAUCAUAUAAAUGUACUUAUGUAAAUGUACCCGCAACGUAUCCUUUGGUACUAGGAUAUUAAAUCCAAUCUAUCUCGUCGAUUAUGUGAUUGCAUCACAAGGUAAAGAUAAGAAUGAGGAUUAUAUAACAUAAACUAUACAUAUAAAAUGU
This 530-nucleotide long non-coding RNA is filed under the name Lactuca sativa (garden lettuce). Its description in RNAcentral is "long non-coding RNA (LSAT_LNC002929)". Lineage: Eukaryota; Viridiplantae; Streptophyta; Magnoliopsida; Asterales; Asteraceae. The record is from RNAcentral.